Molecule: ribosomal RNA, 229 nt
Filed under: uncultured bacterium
Lineage: Bacteria
Description: partial 16S ribosomal RNA
Rfam family: Bacterial small subunit ribosomal RNA
Source: RNAcentral
UCCGUAGGCGGGCAAUUAAGUCAGAGGUGAAAUCCCACAGCUCAACUGUGGAACUGCCUUUGAUACUGGUUGUCUUGAGUUAUAGUGAAGUAGAUAGAAUAUGUAGUGUAGCGGUGAAAUGCAUAGAUAUUACAUAGAAUACCGAUUGCGAAGGCAGUCUACUAACUGUAUACUGACGCUGAUGGACGAAAGCGUGGGGAGCGAACAGGAUUAGAUACCCUGGUAGUCC